RNAcentral lists this ribosomal RNA (424 nucleotides) under uncultured bacterium. RNAcentral's name for it is "bacterial SSU rRNA". It matches the Rfam family "Bacterial small subunit ribosomal RNA", at positions 354 to 796 of the family's 1533-position model. The record is from RNAcentral.
GUUAGGAAUCUUCGGCAAUGGGGGAAACCCUGACCGAGCGACACUGCGUGGAGGAUGAAGGUUUUCGGAUCGUAAACUCCUGAACGAGGGACGAAAAAUGACGGUACCUCGCUAAUAGCACCGGAUAACUCCGUGCCAGCAGCCGCGGUAAUACGGAGGGUGCGAGCGUUAUCCGGAAUCACUGGGCGUAAAGGGCGCGUAGGCGGUUUGUCAAGUCCGAUGUUAAAGCGUGAGGCUCAACCUCAUCACGGCGUUGGAUACUAGCAAGCUUGACGGUUGGAGAGGAAGGUAGAAUUACCAGUGUAGCGGUGGAAUGCGUAGAUACUGGUAGGAAUACCCAUUGCGAAGGCAGCCUUCUGGACAACACGUGACGCUGAGGCGCGAAAGUGUGGGGAGCAAACCGGAUUAGAUACCCCAGUAGUCC